GUAGCUGGUCUGAGAGGAUGACCAGCCACACUGGAACUGAGACACGGUCCAGACUCCUACGGGAGGCAGCAGUGGGGAAUAUUGGACAAUGGGGGCAACCCUGAUCCAGCAAUGCCGCGUGUGUGAAGAAGGCCUGAGGGUUGUAAAGCACUUUCAGUGGGGAGGAGGGUUGAUAGGUUAAGAGCUAAUUAACUGGACGUUACCCACAGAAGAAGCACCGGCUAACUCCGUGCCAGCAGCCGCGGUAAUACGGAGGGUGCGAGCGUUAAUCGGAAUUACUGGGCGUAAAGGGUGCGUAGGUGGUUGAUUAAGUUAUCUGUGAAAUUCCUGGGCUUAACCUGGGACGGUCAGAUAAUACUGGUUGACUCGAGUAUGG
RNAcentral lists this ribosomal RNA (376 nucleotides) under uncultured Legionella sp. RNAcentral describes it as "bacterial SSU rRNA". It matches the Rfam family "Bacterial small subunit ribosomal RNA", at positions 283 to 651 of the family's 1533-position model. Lineage: Bacteria; Pseudomonadati; Pseudomonadota; Gammaproteobacteria; Legionellales; Legionellaceae. The record is from RNAcentral.